RNAcentral lists this ribosomal RNA (480 nucleotides) under Arthrobacter sp. KAT17. RNAcentral describes it as "bacterial SSU rRNA". It matches the Rfam family "Bacterial small subunit ribosomal RNA", at positions 14 to 509 of the family's 1533-position model. The record is from RNAcentral. Lineage: Bacteria; Bacillati; Actinomycetota; Actinomycetes; Micrococcales; Micrococcaceae.
UGAUCAUGGCUCAGGAUGAACGCUGGCGGCGUGCUUAACACAUGCAAGUCGAACGAUGANGCCCACUUGUGGGUGGAUUAGUGGCGAACGGGUGAGUAACACGUGAGUAACCUGCCCUUGACUCUGGGAUAAGCCUGGGAAACUGGGUCUAAUACCGGAUAUGACCUUCCAUGGCAUGGUGGUUGGUGGAAAGCUUUUGUGGUUUUGGAUGGACUCGCGGCCUAUCAGCUUGUUGGUGGGGUAAUGGCCUACCAAGGCGACGACGGGUAGCCGGCCUGAGAGGGUGACCGGCCACACUGGGACUGAGACACGGCCCAGACUCCUACGGGAGGCAGCAGUGGGGAAUAUUGCACAAUGGGCGGAAGCCUGAUGCAGCGACGCCGCGUGAGGGAUGACGGCCUUCGGGUUGUAAACCUCUUUCAGUAGGGAAGAAGCGUAAGUGACGGUACCUGCAGAAGAAGCGCCGGCUAACUACGUGCC